This is a long non-coding RNA of Esox lucius (northern pike), 1192 nucleotides long. The record is from Ensembl. Lineage: Eukaryota; Metazoa; Chordata; Actinopteri; Esociformes; Esocidae.
CGUUUUUAUGAUCCUUUAUUAUACAGAGAUCACUGAUGGUUACAAUAUCAACAACAGAGCACCACGGACAUGCUAAACCAGCUGGUGCCAAGAGAUUCAAAGGAUGACUAAUAUACAGAACGUUUUCAUUAAUACUGCAACUGUGGAUGUAAAUAAGUAUUGACUGGUCGGUUCGGUUCUGCUCUGUGUUAGUUUAGAUCUAGUGAUCGAGGUCUACUGAAUUAGAGGAAAUGUCUCUUGGUCUGGUGGAGGUCAGGAAGCCCAGUGCUGGAUGCAAAACAGGUAGGCGAACAGUAGCACCUAUAAUAUAUUUUCAGGAAUUUUUAAUGCUUUAUUAGACAGGGAAAUCGGAAAAGGAGGAGGAGAAUUGUUUCAUUGUAUUUAAAGUUCAGAUAAAUGUUUUAAUGUAUUCAAUGCAUGAAUCACAUCUGUCAGCAUCAUGACCUUUCUACACUAUCGCAGAUAUCCAUGGCUGAUCUACCCAUGACUUCACCAGUCAGACUGACAGGGUUCGAGAUUCUGUUGAUCAUCAUGACUUUUAGACACGGUCAUUCAUUCUAAACAUAAUGCUAGGAAACAGACAGACUGAGCGUUGCAUCAUACUGAUCCAAAGCUCACAUCAAGAAGAGCUGCAUCUCAAGCGAGUAAUUAUCCACACUGUCCAGCUACACUGAAGUGUUACCAGACCAGGUUCCAGGGCUUUUGCCCAGGAUGUUUUUGGUCAUCCCCCAUUGUGUGAUGAUGAUUGGGCUGUGAUCUGGCGAGGUCAUUGUGGACUAGACCGAUAUCAGGACGUCAGCCUCUAUAGAUGCCUCCGCCCAUGUGAAACCACCUCUCACUCACACGCAUGAACAACAGGCACACACACGUGUGCACAUAGCGGACAUGCAACAUGUUUAAAUAUAAACAAUAAUUAAAUAAAACAAUGUGUUGCACUAAAACAUCUAUACAAUCAAUAAAUAAUACUAUUUAUCAGUACCCGUCUAUGCCCACGUAUUAAAACAAAUUACAAAUAAACCCAAACAGCUCAGGAUUCCGAACAAAGACACUACCUUAUCAAGUGUUAUAAUAAUGCAUUAGUAAUUAUUAUACAGCUCUUGGAUGUUGUCCAAGAGUAAGACGACCUACACAUCCAAAUUCAUAUUACAAAUCAUUGUUAGCCAACGUCAAAGAAAUGAAUCAGAGAUAUCAU